CGGAAGUAGUUCAGUGGUAGAACACCACCUUGCCAAGGUGGGGGUCGCGGGUUCGAAUCCCGUCUUCCGCUCCAA
Molecule: transfer RNA, 75 nt
Filed under: Bacillus subtilis XF-1
Lineage: Bacteria; Bacillati; Bacillota; Bacilli; Caryophanales; Bacillaceae
Description: tRNA-Gly
Rfam family: tRNA
About the family: Transfer RNA (tRNA) molecules are approximately 80 nucleotides in length.
Source: RNAcentral